This is a non-coding RNA of Brassica napus (rape), 164 nucleotides long. NCBI's taxonomy places the organism in Eukaryota, Viridiplantae, Streptophyta, Magnoliopsida, Brassicales, Brassicaceae. The record is from Rfam.
UUACUUACCUGGACGGGGUCAACUCGUGAUCAAGAAGACGAGUGGCCUAGGCUAGUGACCUCCAUUGCACUUACGGGAGGGGCGCUUAGCUUAAGGUCUCCCCAAGUGGGAGAGCCUGCGUCAUUAUUUGUGGCAGAGGGAGCCUGCGUUCGCGCGGCUCCUAC